CAGAGGGGGAGGCACCAGGAGCCUUUCACUUAGAGAUGACGAAGGGAGAAGGAAAAGACCCAUCCAGAAUCCAAUUAUGUUAACUCAUCUCUGCUAUUGAUCCUACAUUCCAGGCCUGGGAAAAAACCCCAAAACCUAAUUACUGCACCGCUAAUGACUGAGAUGACAAAUCGAGGAGCCUCCAGGCUGCUGAUGAUGUUGGAGCCAGUUGAUUCCAGAGGUUCUCGUUCUGAGGAAGGGUAUUUGCUGGCCUCUUCUCCCAAGCCCAGAGAAAGACAGCAGGCUUUCCAUGGAAAAGACGCCAAUGAAAUCAGUUAGGGCCCCUGUCUUCCGGAAGCCUUGGGAGGUGGUGCUGGCCAUCUGCGGCUGUUGUCCUGAGCACCUCUGGAGAGGCAGCUGGAGUGACAGCCAUAUCGCCGCUGCGAUCUGCUGAUAUAAUUACAUAGAGAAUGCAUUUAAUGCUUCAGUGGGCA
RNAcentral lists this long non-coding RNA (473 nucleotides) under Homo sapiens (human). RNAcentral's name for it is "HSALNT0279183". The record is from RNAcentral. Lineage: Eukaryota; Metazoa; Chordata; Mammalia; Primates; Hominidae.